AACGCACAUUGCGCUUUUGAGCUCGCCUCAUAAGCAUGCCUCUUUCAGUGUUUUAUUACACAAUACUCUUUGCCGGGGCGCAAGUCUCGUAUGCAAAGGACGAUAUGAGAGUCAGGUCAGCCCUCUGGGAUGAUCGUCUCUUGAAGAACAAAGCGGUGGCGUGGUUUACUCCUGCCUCUUGCUCCUAUUGCGAAUGACACUACUUGUUAUUCGCUCAUGUGACAAUUCGCCUCGUUUGCGAUCUUCCAUGGGCUUGAGUACUGGUGCGUGUGAUUAGCGCGGGUGGCAAGGUCGCUCUGUCGUCGGUGACCUCGAUAAGAGGUGAUACGGCGCCACUUUCAAAACAUUUAACCUGAAAUGAGGUAAGGUUACCCGCUGAACUUAA
Molecule: unclassified non-coding RNA, 385 nt
Filed under: uncultured fungus
Lineage: Eukaryota; Fungi
Description: partial contains ITS1, 5.8S rRNA and ITS2
Source: RNAcentral